AGCCAACAUGCAGUCCAAGAGGAGUGGACUUUAGGAGAGGAUGGGCAAUAACUCCUGGCUCUGGCUCCUUUUACCAUCAUUUGCAACACUGAAAAUAAAAUCAAAGUGGGCAUCUCUUGGAUCCCAUGCCAAGCUACUUGGGAGAAGCCAACUGCUCCAGCCAUUACUCUACCCUAGUGACAACCGCAUCUCUCUGAAAUGUACUAUAAGAUCAAAUUAAAGAGCCAGAGCUUUCCGAAGACAGCUGCUGAAAUAUUGUUGCACAUGGAUAUGUUAAACAUAUAAAUAUAGAACAUAGAAUAAUAGAUUUAGAAGGGACCUUAGAGGUCUUCUAGUCCAGUUCCCUAUCCAAGUAGGAGACCCUAUACCAUUACGGACAAAUGGUUGUUCAGUCUCUUCUUGAAAACCUCCAGUGAAGGAACAUCCACAUCUUCCAAAGGUGCUUUGGAGAAUAGAUCAACCUCUUCUUCUCUGUAACAGCCACUCAGGACUUCAUUGAUACGCUGGUGGAUGCAUAAUGCUUUAUCCACAUCUCAGCAAAUUUGCAUACUUCAAUCAAGAUUAGCAUCAGCAUCCAUGACUUUUGCCUCACGACUUCUGCAGCUGGAAAGAUAUCUUGAGUGAACUCCAUCACUUCCACAUUACAGUUUUCCUCUGACAGAAUCUUCCUUUUCUCCAUUUUGCACAAACAAAUAUUAACAGUUUCUAAAACCUCAAUGAUAACCACAUAUAUGCUAGCUAUUCAUUAACUAAAUUUUGGUUUUCAUUAAAUGUGUCCUGGUAUCAGUUUAUAAUUUGCACUAAAUUAUUCCAGUAUCUCAGGGGUUGCCACAAAGAAGAGGGAGUUGGGCUGUUCUCCAAAGCACCUGAGGGUAGAACAAGAAGCAAUGGGUGGAAACUGAUCAAAGAAAGAAGCAAUUUAGAACUAAGGAGAAAUUUCCUGACAGUUAGCACAAUUAAUAAGUGGAACGACUUGCCUGCAGAAGUUGUGAAUGCUCCAACACUGGAAAUUUUUAAGAAAAUGUUGGAUAACCAUCUGACUGAGAUGGUGUAGGGUUUCCUGCCUGGGCAAGGGGUUGGACUAGAAGGCCUCCAAGGUCCCUUCCAACUCUGUUGUUAUAUUAUAUUAUGUUAUAUUAUAUUAUAUUAAAUUGAAUAUCAGAUUAUUCAAACUCACAAUAAUUGUGAUCUUGCUACAGAUGUCAGGGGAAAAAAUGCAAUUUUCUGUAUCAGUUUGCUGCUAUUUAAUGGUUGUUCAAAUUUUUUUAAACCCCAGAUUUAGUAGCUUUCCUUAUAUUUUGGUUCUUGGGCAAAUUACUUCUCUUUAGCCUUCAUAUUUUGCCUGCUAAUAAAGAAUUAUUUUGUGAUAUGCCUGGCCAGAUAGGAGUGGCCAUAGCAGAAAAGUAACAUAUCAAUCAAAAUAAUAAAGAAGAAUAUUUGUAGCUCAGGGUUGAAAUGUUUUCCGCAAGAAACAAUCAGAGAGCACCAAGGACCCCUCAAAUCAAAAUAAAUCAAAAUGAUUUUC
Molecule: long non-coding RNA, 1525 nt
Organism: Ahaetulla prasina
Lineage: Eukaryota; Metazoa; Chordata; Lepidosauria; Squamata; Colubridae
Exons: 3
Source: RefSeq, a predicted model, not a curated record